GACGAACGCUGGCGGCGUGCUUAACACAUGCAAGUCGAACGGAAAGGCCCUGCUUUUGUGGGGUGCUCGAGUGGCGAACGGGUGAGUAACACGUGAGUAACCUGCCCUUGACUUUGGGAUAACUUCAGGAAACUGGGGCUAAUACCGGAUAGGAGCUCCUGCUGCAUGGUGGGGGUUGGAAAGUUUCGGCGGUUGGGGAUGGACUCGCGGCUUAUCAGCUUGUUGGUGGGGUAGUGGCUUACCAAGGCUUUGACGGGUAGCCGGCCUGAGAGGGUGACCGGCCACAUUGGGACUGAGAUACGGCCCAGACUCCUACGGGGGGCAGCAGUGGGGAAUAUUGCACAAUGGGCGGAAGCCUGAUGCAGCAACGCCGCGUGCGGGAUGACGGCCUUCGGGUUGUAAACCGCUUUCGCCUGUGACGAAGCGUGAGUGACGGUAAUGGGUAAAGAAGCACGGGCUAACUACGUG
Molecule: ribosomal RNA, 468 nt
Filed under: uncultured bacterium
Lineage: Bacteria
Description: partial 16S ribosomal RNA
Rfam family: Bacterial small subunit ribosomal RNA
Source: RNAcentral